GCCCUACCCUGAUAAUUAUAUGUGCAAGACCCAGAGACUGCCUAGAACAUUCCUAAAUGGGCUGCUCUUGCUCUUGCGGUCUUUACGAGCUGUAAUAAGCGCUCCAUUUAUUUCACUGUAAACGAAAGGAAAAGAAUAUGUAUUAUUUGAGAAAUUCCUCGGACCGGAUGAGUAGUUCCCAUGAAUGGAUGUCGUUUGGUACGCUCAACCGGAUUGAUAGUCAGAUGCAAUUGUGUAAGCAUUAUCAUUUAGAGUAUAUAUAUUUAAGCAGUGUCUCUAUAUAAUUAGUAAUCAGAUUAUAAAGAAUACAAUACAAUGGAGUUGCUGCGUUAGUUUUCGAAAAAUGUUUAAAAAUAGUUACGAUCUUGCUUGCGGAGGAGCCUGUCAUUCAUUUAAUUUUUUUGUCCAUCGCCUAUCGUAUAAAUUCGUUCAGUCUUUGUUAAUCAACAAUUUUACUUUUUUAAAGUGCUUAAUGGUUUACAUUUAUUUUGAGUCAGAGAAAUGUGCACUUAACGAGAAAUGCAAAGUUAAUUAGAGAAACCUCAAUUUAAUGAACUUCUUCUGCAAUGACUGUCUCCGUUCGUUCGAUAUAAAAAUUUGUGUUCGCAUUUUUGGUUUAUAAUAAAAUAUAUAUAUUAAA
Molecule: long non-coding RNA, 640 nt
Organism: Drosophila miranda
Lineage: Eukaryota; Metazoa; Arthropoda; Insecta; Diptera; Drosophilidae
Exons: 2
Source: RefSeq, a predicted model, not a curated record